Molecule: ribosomal RNA, 254 nt
Filed under: uncultured microorganism
Description: partial 16S ribosomal RNA
Rfam family: Archaeal small subunit ribosomal RNA
Source: RNAcentral
CACCGGCGGCUCGAGUGGUGGCCACUUUUAUUGGGUCUAAAGCGUCCGUAGCCGGCUUGGCCAGUCCCCUGGGAAAUCUGGCGGCUUAACCGUCAGGCGUCCAGAGGAUACUGCCAGGCUUGGGACCGGGAGAGGUGAGAGGUACCUCAGGGGUAGGGGUGAAAUCUUGUGAUCCCUGAGGGACCACCAGUGGCGAAGGCGUCUCACUAGAACGGGUCCGACGGUCAGGGACGAAAGCUGGGGGCACGAACCGG